AACGAACGCUAGCGGCAUGCCUAACACAUGCAAGUCGAACGAGACCUUCGGGUCUAGUGGCGCACGGGUGCGUAACGCGUGGGAACCUGCCCUUAGGUUCGGAAUAACUCCCCGAAAGGGGUGCUAAUACCGGAUAAUGUCUUCGGACCAAAGAUUUAUCGCCUUUGGAUGGGCCCGCGUUGGAUUAGCUAGUUGGUAGGGUAAAAGCCUACCAAGGCGACGAUCCAUAGCUGGUCUGAGAGGAUGAUCAGCCACACUGGGACUGAGACACGGCCCAGACUCCUACGGGAGGCAGCAGUGGGGAAUAUUGGACAAUGGGCGAAAGCCUGAUCCAGCAAUGCCGCGUGAGUGAUGAAGGCCUUAGGGUUGUAAAGCUCUUUUACCCGGGAUGGUAAUGACAGUACCGGGAGAAUAAGCUCCGGCUAACUCCGUG
Molecule: ribosomal RNA, 433 nt
Filed under: uncultured bacterium
Lineage: Bacteria
Description: partial 16S ribosomal RNA
Rfam family: Bacterial small subunit ribosomal RNA
Source: RNAcentral